This 3873-nucleotide long non-coding RNA is filed under the name Canis lupus familiaris (dog). RNAcentral describes it as "lncRNA (ENSCAFG00845007493.1)". Lineage: Eukaryota; Metazoa; Chordata; Mammalia; Carnivora; Canidae. The record is from RNAcentral.
UUUUUAUGCAUUACAGGUUUUCAGCGGUCUUAGGUGAGGAAUGUCAGAGACAUGGCUGGGACCUGCUGAGAAAGCACGUCCUCUGAGAGGGCGAACCAGCCACUACUCUUCAGACUCUGACACACAAGCCAUUUCUUGAUGCUCUCAGUUUGGGUCUGGGACAAAUACUCUUCUCAUUACCACUCAGCUUAGUUUUGACCUCCUCUCGAUAAUCUGCUAUGCUAGAGAGGGGGGACAACCAUUCAGGACUAUCUCGCAUUUUCUAAUCCACAGGGAUUGAAGAUAAAGCUCAACCUAAUCACAGAGGAAGACACCAAAGCAAGUAGGGAAUGAGCCUUUGGAAGGGGUCUGAAGACUAGGUAGAAGUCUAAAGGCAUUCCAGGUAGAAGAAAAUAAGUGUGUGUGUGUGUGUGUGUGUGUGUGUGAGAGAGAGAGAGAGAGGGAGAGAGGGAGAGGGAGAGAGGGAGAGAGGGAGCUGAAAGGUGGGAAUGGCAGAGAGAGAAGAUUCUACAUGAAUUUGGGAAGUUAGGACAGGGCCAGAUUAUGAAGACCUUUAAAGUCUCUAUUAAGGUACUUUUGCAAUUCCACUAGGCAAAGGUGAGCCACUGACAAGUUUUCAGCAGAGGAGUGCCCCUUUUAUAUCUGUAGUUAGCAGGAUACUCAGAGGGUGAUGCAAAGGAGUGUUUGGAAGUAGUGAGACUAAAGGCUGAACAUUUAUGACACUCAUAAGACAAUGUGACCUUGGACAAAGGCAAUAGCAGCUGGGAGUCAUGCUUUCCUUGAACCUUCUGAGCAUCUGCCAUGAGUGCUGAGGAUGUAUUGCCAAAGGGGAGACAGACAGGUCCCCACCCUCAGGGAGCUUAUAGUACAAUGCACUCAAGAGGGAAGGUAAUGUUUUAGUAUGUUUCAGAGACAGAAUCAGCAGAUAGUUUCAGCAUUCCCUUCAGUGCUAAAAGGAUGAACUCUACAAAGUCCAGCAGAAAUCACACCAGAUAGGCCAUCUUUCUAAAGCCUAUAACAUCCAUUCUCCUAAUUGCAGCUAAAAGAAAGUCCCCAUAAAUACACUGGAAAAGACAGGCAUGAUGGGCGUGGGCUUUCUCCCUGGCACGUGAAGUCUGAUGUUCUUGGUUUGAUUAGUUUCAUCAGGGGCCAUAGUAGAGCCUGCAGAAGCAUGAGAAGGGGUGGUGGAGUAGAGGCUUGUGGGCAGAAAGAGAAGAAUGGAGAAGCAAGUCACAUGAGUUUUAGGCUCAGCUCUGCAUAGCAUUUGAUGUGUGAUUUAACACAAAUCACUACUUCACUUGGAGACUCAUGUUUCUCAUCUGUCAAAAAGGAAACUGAAGUAGAUAAUCUCAGAGAUCUCUUCUAGUCCUAGGAUGUCCUGAUACCAUUUUUUCCUUGAAAUUUCUAAAUGAACCAGUAUUUUCAAGGGAUGUGAUGCACUCUUAUUCAUGCUUUUUAAUUUUUUUUGACCAAUUUACAUUUCUAUAACCAUUUAAACUUUACUAAAUAUUUUCACAUGCAUAUUACCACUUGCUCAUCAUAGCCACCCCUGGCUCCAAUUUUUACAGGUGAGGGGACUGCAGCUACAUGAGCAAGAGAAGAGGGAGACACAAGAAACCAAGUCCAUAGAGAUAAAGUGAACGUUAAGUCAGGCUUUUAGUUUCAAAGUGGUUCUUUUAUCCACUUCAAAAAGCUCAAUGCAUUAACCCGAGAGCCUAUUCCCCCGUUCUAAUCAAUCCAUGUUUAGGAUUUAACAACUCAAACAGGAUAUUAGGUAAGUCAAAUAGGUUCAGCACCAAGAACUCACUAAAAGAGAAGAAUGACUACAUUUUAUUGAACCUAAUUUAUAAGCCAUCUGGAAGCAUUACCUUCAAUGGGAAGCCCAGAACUAGUGUCCCCAGCUAAGAGACGCUGAUAAAUAAAGACACCAGCAUUUCAGUAACAUUAAAGCUGUGUGUUAAACACAGAAAGGUGAAGAAUCUAGGGGCACAGAAGCUCUGGAUGGUCUUUUUAUUUCCCCUGGUACUGUUCACAGGAAGAUACACGCUUGGCCUCAACAAAAUUGGCUGUCAAAUAAAAUUCCUAUAGAAAUUUCCUUUGAAAGAAUCAUAUGGCAGCAAAUUUAGACACUCUUAUAAUAUUUGGUGCCUAUAUAGGUUAAUCCUGGUUACUUGCAUUCAAACGCACUCCUGGAAUUAGUGAGCUUCACAAAGCUCUGAAUGUGAUCUUAAUUUUCUCAUUCCUAGAAAGGAAAAUAAUUUCUUCUAAGGUUGCUAGAGGGGUAAAACUCGCAAAGUGAGGCCUGAGGGUAGAGGUGGAAUAAGUGGGGUGAGGUUAGUUCACUGCAGAGGAGCCAGCCAGCAGAGUUUGCUACUUUACCUAAGACUUGGUCUCAUUCCCCUUCCUGACAUUCUGACAUUCUUACACUUUGGCUAUGGUUUGGCUUCUCCAUGGAUGUAUCCCAAAGUUUAGUGGUGUAACUCUCUCCCCAGUUCCCUCUCUGGGUGGUUCAGUCCAUCCUGGAUGAUCUCUUAAUUAUACAUGUAUCAGGCACAUUUGUCUACCAUCUGUUCAGAACAGAUCUUGUAAUAGUCUAUUUGCACCCAAAUUUUUAUUAUUUUAUCAUCCUUCCUUUAAGUCUUAGCUCAGCAAUUUACCAGCUGUAGGACUUUGAGUAAAUUGCUUUGCCUCUCUGAUCCUCAUUAUACUUAUCUAUAAAUGGUGGUAACAAUAGCUUACUUAUAUGUCUGGGGUGGGGUUUAUCAUCAUUAGCAUAUCGGGGUUCUCAGUGAUUAUUUUUUAAUUCUUAAAGUUAGAUGCCAGAAGUAAAGAUUUGGAAGAAAACCCCUCAAAAAUCUAUAAAACCAUGGACCUGGCACCAUAGAACAUAAAGAGUAAGAGAAGAAUGCAAACAGACAACACCAUGUUAAGUGAUUUAGUAAAGCAUUUCCCUGUUCCCCAAAGGAUACAGACAUUCUACACAGGAUUGUUGCUGGCCUUCUUCACCCAUGGGAAACUGAUUCUCUAACCCAUAGGUGUCUACUCUGAUGUAGCUUGUACCAAGAAGUGGGGGGCCUGAGUUGACCAGAUGCCCUGGUGGACCUCAUUAUGUUUUCUUGUGUCACUCUGAAAUAAUAAGAUCCCCUUCCACAGACCUCCCUCUAUUCUAGUCCUUUGCUUAGCCUUCUUAGUCUGUGCUUAUUAUUAUAUCCACUCCCUCCCUCAAGCCCCGAUCUUCUCUUAUCACCCUCAGUGUCUUCUGGUUCAAAUUCAUUUUCUCCCCAACACUAAAAAUAAGAAUCCUCAUGUUACAACUCCAUCCGUUGCCUGGAGAUAACAUUCAGCUCUUCACACGCAGGCAGACCUCCUCCAGCUGUGCCAAUUUAAUCCUGUUCUGUUGCUUCGUUCAUUUUGAAUAGGAUACCUCUGGCAGGUGAGGUGUUAUGAACAUCAACAUGUUAAAUCUUCAGUAAAGUAAUUCUCCUGGGCAUUUUUCCCCCAUUUCAUUUUGUCCAGGAUGCUGUCAUAAUGUCUACUGACAUUUCUAGACUUUCCCCUUGAGUUCCUUGGCAAUUCAUUAAUACAUGCACCUACCAACAAACAUUUUCUUGAGGACCCACCAUGUGCCAGUCAUUGCAGUACAGUACUCAUUUGAUGCUCGUGAGAAGGCAUGAUGUAGGUGUGUGGUGAGUGUGUGUGUAUGUGUGUGUGUGUGCAUGCAUGCAGUGCACACAUGCAGUGAGGGGAGGGUAAGCCAACUACUUCUUCAACUUUGGCGGUUGUUCAAUGAUAAAUGUGUGUAGGGGAGCAGAGUGAGGGUUGGCCACAAAUGUGGCUUUGAGCUGUCACACACAUCCUCCACAUCUUUAUCUG